RNAcentral lists this transfer RNA (77 nucleotides) under Candidatus Latescibacterota bacterium. RNAcentral describes it as "tRNA-Ile". It matches the Rfam family "tRNA". Rfam says of the family: Transfer RNA (tRNA) molecules are approximately 80 nucleotides in length. Lineage: Bacteria; Pseudomonadati; Candidatus Latescibacterota. The record is from RNAcentral.
GGGCCCAUAGCUCAGUUGGUUAGAGCGGCGGACUCAUAAUCCGCUGGUCGUAGGUUCAAGUCCUACUGGGCCCACCA